AACGAACGCUGGCGGCAGGCCUAACACAUGCAAGUCGAACGCCCCUUCGGGGGAGUGGCAGACGGGUGAGUAACGCGUGGGAACCUUCCCUGUGGUACGGAAUAACUCAGAGAAAUUUGAGCUAAUACCGUAUACGCCCUUCGGGGGAAAGAGUUUAUCGCCAUAGGAUGGGCCCGCGUCGGAUUAGCUUGUUGGUGAGGUAAUGGCUCACCAAGGCGACGAUCCGUAGCUGGUCUUAGAGGAUGAUCAGCCACACUGGGACUGAGACACGGCCCAGACUCCUACGGGAGGCAGCAGUGGGGAAUAUUGGACAAUGGGCGCAAGCCUGAUCCAGCCAUGCCGCGUGAGUGACGAAGGCCUUAGGGUUGUAAAGCUCUUUUGGCGGGGACGAUAAUGACGGUACCCGCAGAAUAAGCCCCGGCUAACUUCGUG
Molecule: ribosomal RNA, 432 nt
Filed under: uncultured bacterium
Lineage: Bacteria
Description: bacterial SSU rRNA
Rfam family: Bacterial small subunit ribosomal RNA
Source: RNAcentral